Molecule: long non-coding RNA, 2521 nt
Organism: Dermochelys coriacea (leatherback sea turtle)
Lineage: Eukaryota; Metazoa; Chordata; Testudines; Dermochelyidae
Exons: 4
Source: RefSeq, a predicted model, not a curated record
UAAGGUGCCACAAGUACUCCUUUUCUUUUUGUUUGGAUUAUGUUUUUCAGGGUGCAUUGCUUUGCAUUUAUCAACAUUGAAUUUCAUCUGCCAUUUUGUUGCCAAGUCAUCCAGUUUCGUGAGAUCCCUUUGGAACUCUGCACAGUCAGCUUUGGACAUAACUAUCUUGAGUAACUUUGUAUCAUCUGCAGAUUUUUGCCACCUCAUUCUUCACCCCCUUUUCCAGAUCACUUAUGAGAGGGCCAGGGGCCGGAUGAACGAAGUGAGUGAGGAGCGAGGCAGGGGAGAGAGAGAGAGAGAAGUUCAUGAAGAGCAAGUGCCAGAUGAAGGUAGUGUGCCAGGCACGGCCUGACCAGCUCUGCAGAGAAAGGAAUCAACCCCUCCCUGCUCUAGCAUGGGCUGCAUCCCUAACCCCUGGAGAUUGUCCUUGGAUUUCAGGAAGCUGCCAGCAUGUUCCUGAGAUGAGACUGUCCUGAGAAGUGCUAGUGAGAAUAGACAGAGGACCUUGGAUGAGGAGCCUCCGAGAAAGAGGAGACGGUGGCUUCAUCACAAUCAUUUCUCCUGUGUUACUCUUUACUAGUGUCAGUAUUAUUGGAGCCCACUGGCCUGAUACACAGACAACAUGCAAUGCUGUUGGAAUGUGGAAACCGCCUUCCAUGACACCUCUCCUUUGAGGGCUACCACAAGGAAGAGUCCUCAGAGAUCCCACAAAGAACCUUAUCCCUCCACUUUGGAUGAUGAGCCACCUCUAUUGCUCUCUUACACCUGUUCUCUACAUUGUGUAAGGAAGGGAUGCUGUCAACAAGUUACUGAUCUCUGCUGCAGUAUUACCAGAGACAAGUAGGAACCCAGCAUUUACUUUUAAGACCUGUGAACCGGGAUCCUGACUGAAUGUAAAAGUCCACGUGGAUGUUUCCAUGCACAGAGCUUCACAAAAACAUCUGACCCCAAUUCUAGAUGUAGAUUUUCAUAUCUGAUCAGGAUGAGGACAAGUGGGGUUUCAUUGAAAAGCAUCUAGCGAACAAAGGCACAUGGGGGUAGGGAAUUGCAAUCUGAAAUGCAAACCUGAGACCCCCUUUUUGUUAAUGGAGUAGUAGCUGUAAAGGAGGUUGAGGAGGAUUGCAGCAGGCUAGAGCUGAAGAUCUCUUGAAUAGCCCUGGAAACACCUCUGUUUGGUUUCAGUGAUGGAGACUAGAACAAAUGAGGCAAUGUAGCCUAAUGAACAGAGCACUGGACUGUGACUCAGGAGCUCUAGGUUUCUCCCCCACUUCCCAGUUCUGCCACUGACCUGCUAAGUGACCUUUUGACAAGUCACUUCACCGCCCUGUGCCUCAGUUUCCCCCUCUGUAAAAUGGGAAUUAUACCAACCUCCUUUGUAAAGCACUCUGAGAUCUACUCAUAACAAGAGCUAGUAGUAUUAUAAUUGCUAUUAAUCAGUCAAGAGAGAGGUAAGGAUAGUCAAGCAGGAUGUUAGGACCAUAUAUCCUAGAAGGUAGGUCUGUGUAUUUCAGCACAACCUGGGUAUCCCUGGAAAGUCCCACAAGGAGUCCUGAGGGUCCCAGAUUUGGGCCUUGCCUCUCCUCUAGCUAACACUUUAAUUCUCAUACACAGUUUUGCAUUCCAUAAUUCUGUUGGUAAGACAAGAGGUCCCUGACCUGUUAUUGCACAAGGCAAAUAAGAUUUAACAAGACUCAGCCAAUCAGAAGCUGAGAUGUAUCCAAUCAGCAACACACAACUCACUGGCUUGAUGCAUGGGACUUUGGGCUCCCUCUGUGCCAGAACCUCCCAAGGAAGUCAAGGAGGGAGCACUGCACAUGGAGGGAUGGCAGGAUUGUGCACAAAGAGAACAAGAGAGGUUUAACCCCAAGCAGAGAGAGGUUGGUGAUCUCAAUCACCAUUAAAGUUUAUUGACCCAAGAGAACGAUAUUUAGCCAGAAGGCCCAAUAAAUUGCACAGCUGACUGGUAACACACGUCCUGCUGUGACUUGUCACAUAAAUCCCGUUACAGAUAUUCAUUAGAAUUGAGAUUUAUUUUGUUUAAUUAGAGCAAUCAUAGCAUGAAUUGGGAUAAAGUUGCAAUGGGGAGGCCAGGGCCCAGGAAAGCAGCAAUAGUUAGCAGUGCAGAAUGCAGGCACCAGAUUUGAUGCCAAGAAGCAGUAUUCAAAGUGAACUACAAAGGAAGAGAGUGAUUUGCUUGUGUACCUUGACUGCUCCUUGUAAAGGCAACUACAAGGCUUUUCCAGUCUGCUUUUCAUUUCAGAAAUACCUGGAGUAUCAAGUCUUGGCUUUGCAGGAGGACCCUCUGGCCUGGAAGACGUAGGAGCUGGACUAAGAUAGGAAUAGCACAACACGCUGAACCCUGAACUGCAGCUCAACAGACAGGUAGAGGGGAGCCUGAAUCUUUCACCCAGAGACUUUCUCCCAGCUGUUUAUCAGGAGUUUUAGAUAAAUGAUUUAUUUUGUUUUAAACCUGUGUGACUAAAAAAAUCCCUUCUUGUCUGAGCUGAGGGAUAAAAGCUGC